This 98-nucleotide signal recognition particle RNA is filed under the name Candidatus Liberibacter americanus str. Sao Paulo. Its description in RNAcentral is "Bacterial small signal recognition particle RNA". It matches the Rfam family "Bacterial small signal recognition particle RNA". Rfam says of the family: The signal recognition particle (SRP) is a universally conserved ribonucleoprotein involved in the co-translational targeting of proteins to membranes. The record is from Rfam by way of RNAcentral. Lineage: Bacteria; Pseudomonadati; Pseudomonadota; Alphaproteobacteria; Hyphomicrobiales; Rhizobiaceae.
AGAGGCUGGAGGACGGACGCUAUUCUUGUAAAUCGGGUCAGAUCUGGAAAGAAGCAGCCCUAGCAUUGUGAUGACGGGUCGUUUUUUCAGCCUCUCUU